UUGGAGGGCAAGUCUGGUGCCAGCAGCCGCGGUAAUUCCAGCUCCAAUAGCGUAUAUUAAAGUUGCUGCAGUUAAAAAGCUCGUAGUUGAAUUUCGGGACCAUCAUGUCGGUCGUGCCUCGGUACGUACUGGCAUUGUUGGUUUCUCCCUUCUGACGAACCAUGAUGUCAUUUAUUUGGUGUUGUGGGAAAUCAGGACUGUUACUUUGAAAAAUUAGAGUGUUUAAAGCAGGCUCACGCUUGAAUACAUUAGCAUGGAAUAAUGAAAUAGGACGUUUGAUUCUAUUUUGUUGGUUUCUAGGAUCGACGUAAUGAUUAAUAGGGAUAGUUGGGGGCAUUAGUAUUCAAUUGUCAGAGGUGAAAUUCUUGGAUUUAUUGAAGACUAACUACUGCGAAAGCAUUUGCCAAGGAUGUUUUCAUUAAUCAAGAACGAAAGUUAGGGGAUCGAAGACGAUCAGAUACCGUCGUAGUCUUAACCAUAAACUAUGCCGACUAGGGAUCGGACGAAGUUAAUUUUAAAUGACUCGUUCGGCGCCUUAC
RNAcentral lists this ribosomal RNA (539 nucleotides) under Glomus sp. RNAcentral describes it as "SSU rRNA". It matches the Rfam family "Eukaryotic small subunit ribosomal RNA", at positions 548 to 1091 of the family's 1831-position model. Lineage: Eukaryota; Fungi; Glomeromycota; Glomeromycetes; Glomerales; Glomeraceae. The record is from RNAcentral.